GGCGGCAGGCCUAACACAUGCAAGGCGAGCGGUAGCACAGAGAGCUUGCUCUCGGGUGACGAGCGGCGGACGGGUGAGUAAUGUCUGGGAAACUGCCUGAUGGAGGGGGAUAACUACUGGAAACGGUAGCUAAUACCGCAUAACGUCGCAAGACCAAAGUGGGGGACCUUCGGGCCUCAUGCCAUCAGAUGUGCCCAGAUGGGAUUAGCUAGUAGGUGGGGUAACGGCUCACCUAGGCGACGAUCCCUAGCUGGUCUGAGAGGAUGACCAGCCACACUGGAACUGAGACACGGUCCAGACUCCUACGGGAGGCAGCAGUGGGGAAUAUUGCACAAUGGGCGCAAGCCUGAUGCAGCCAUGCCGCGUGUGUGAAGAAGGCCUUCGGGUUGUAAAGCACUUUCAGCGGGGAGGAAGGCGUUAAGGUUAAUAACCUUGGCGAUUGACGUUACCCGCAGAAGAAGCACCGGCUAACUCCGUGCCAGCAGCCGCGGUAAUACGGAGGGUGCAAGCGUUAAUCGGAAUUACUGGGCGUAAAGCGCACGCAGGCGGUCUGUCAAGUCGGAUGUGAAAUCCCCGGGCUCAACCUGGGAACUGCAUUCGAAACUGGCAGGCUAGAGUCUUGUAGAGGGGGGUAGAAUUCCAGGUGUAGCGGUGAAAUGCGUAGAGAUCUGGAGGAAUACCGGUGGCGAAGGCGGCCCCCUGGACAAAGACUGACGCUCAGGUGCGAAAGCGUGGGGAGCAAACAGGAUUAGAUACCCUGGUAGUCCACGCCGUAAACGAUGUCGAUUUGGAGGUUGUGCCCUUGAGGCGUGGCUUCCGGAGCUAACGCGUUAAAUCGACCGCCUGGGGAGUACGGCCGCAAGGUUAAAACUCAAAUGAAUUGACGGGGGCCCGCACAAGCGGUGGAGCAUGUGGUUUAAUUCGAUGCAACGCGAAGAACCUUACCUGGUCUUGACAUCCACAGAACUUUCCAGAGAUGGAUUGGUGCCUUCGGGAACUGUGAGACAGGUGCUGCAUGGCUGUCGUCAGCUCGUGUUGUGAAAUGUUGGGUUAAGUCCCGCAACGAGCGCAACCCUUAUCCUUUGUUGCCAGCGGUUCGGCCGGGAACUCAAAGGAGACUGCCAGUGAUAAACUGGAGGAAGGUGGGGAUGACGUCAAGUCAUCAUGGCCCUUACGACCAGGGCUACACACGUGCUACAAUGGCAUAUACAAAGAGAAGCGACCUCGCGAGAGCAAGCGGACCUCAUAAAGUAUGUCGUAGUCCGGAUUGGAGUCUGCAACUCGACUCCAUGAAGUCGGAAUCGCUAGUAAUCGUAGAUCAGAAUGCUACGGUGAAUACGUUCCCGGGCCUUGUACACACCGCCCGUCACACCAUGGGAGUGGGUUGCAAAAGAAGUAGGUAGCUUAACCUUCGGGAGGGCGCUUACCACUUUGUGAUUCAUGACUGGGGUGAAAUCAU
This 1459-nucleotide ribosomal RNA is filed under the name uncultured organism. RNAcentral describes it as "SSU rRNA". It matches the Rfam family "Bacterial small subunit ribosomal RNA". The record is from RNAcentral.